RNAcentral lists this ribosomal RNA (207 nucleotides) under uncultured bacterium. Its description in RNAcentral is "partial 16S ribosomal RNA". It matches the Rfam family "Bacterial small subunit ribosomal RNA", at positions 1294 to 1500 of the family's 1533-position model. The record is from RNAcentral.
CGGAUUGUAGUCUGCAACCCGACUACAUGAAGCCGGAAUCGCUAGUAAUCGCGGAUCAGAAUGCCGCGGUGAAUACGUUCCCGGGUCUUGUACACACCGCCCGUCACACCAUGGGAGUCGGGAAUGCCCGAAGUCAGUGACCCAACCCAAGGGAGGGAGCUGCCGAAGGCAGGCCUGGUGACUGGGGUGAAGUCGUAACAAGGUAAC